Molecule: ribosomal RNA, 253 nt
Filed under: uncultured bacterium
Lineage: Bacteria
Description: partial 16S ribosomal RNA
Rfam family: Bacterial small subunit ribosomal RNA
Source: RNAcentral
UACGGAGGGUGCGAGCGUUGUCCGGAAUCACUGGGCGUAAAGGGCGCGUAGGCGGCCUGAUAAGUAGGGGGUGAAAUCCUGCGGCUUAACCGCAGGGCUGCCUUCUAAACUGUCAGGCUUGAGCACAGUAGAGGCAGGUGGAAUUCCCGGUGUAGCGGUGGAAUGCGUAGAGAUCGGGAAGAACAUCAGUGGCGAAGGCGGCCUGCUGGGCUGUUGCUGACGCUGAGGCGCGACAGCGUGGGGAGCAGACAGG